AAUCAGGUAGGACUACCCGCUGAACUUAAGCAUAUCAAUAGCCGAAGGAU
RNAcentral lists this ribosomal RNA (50 nucleotides) under Rhizoctonia solani. RNAcentral describes it as "partial 28S ribosomal RNA". The record is from RNAcentral. Lineage: Eukaryota; Fungi; Basidiomycota; Agaricomycetes; Cantharellales; Ceratobasidiaceae.